CAACCAGCACCGCAAGUGGUCAGGAUGAUUAUUGGGCCUAAAGCAUCCGUAGCCGGCUCUGUCAGUUUUCGGUUAAAUCUGUACGCUUAACGUACAGGCUGCUGGGAAUACUGCAGAGCUAGGGAGUGGGAGAGGUAGACGGUACUCGGGAGGAAGUGGUAAAAUGCUUUGAUCUCUCGAUGACCACCUGUGGCGAAGGCGGUCUACCAGAACACGUCCGACGGUGAGGGAUGAAAGCUGGGGGAGCAAACCGGAUUAGAUACCCGGGUAGUCC
RNAcentral lists this ribosomal RNA (274 nucleotides) under uncultured bacterium. RNAcentral describes it as "partial 16S ribosomal RNA". It matches the Rfam family "Archaeal small subunit ribosomal RNA", at positions 473 to 747 of the family's 1478-position model. The record is from RNAcentral.